UGGGGAAUAUUGCACAAUGGGCGCAAGCCUGAUGCAGCCAUGCCGCGUGUGUGAAGAAGGCCUUCGGGUUGUAAAGCACUUUCAGCGAGGAGGAAGGGUAGUGUGUUAAUAGCACAUUGCAUUGACGUUACUCGCAGAAGAAGCACCGGCUAACUCCGUGCCAGCAGCCGCGGUAAUACGGAGGGUGCAAGCGUUAAUCGGAAUUACUGGGCGUAAAGCGCACGCCGGCGGUUUGUUAAGUCAGAUGUGAAAGCCCCGCGCUUAACGUGGGAACUGCAUUUGAAACUGGCAAGCUAGAGUCUUGUAGAGGGGGGUAGAAUUCCAGGUGUAGCGGUGAAAUGCGUAGAGAUCUGGAGGAAUACCGGUGGCGAAGGUGGCCCCCUGGACAAAGACUGACGCUCAGGUGCGAAAGCGUGGGGAGCAAACA
RNAcentral lists this ribosomal RNA (427 nucleotides) under uncultured bacterium. RNAcentral's name for it is "partial 16S ribosomal RNA". It matches the Rfam family "Bacterial small subunit ribosomal RNA", at positions 355 to 774 of the family's 1533-position model. The record is from RNAcentral.